Molecule: long non-coding RNA, 368 nt
Filed under: Solanum tuberosum (potato)
Lineage: Eukaryota; Viridiplantae; Streptophyta; Magnoliopsida; Solanales; Solanaceae
Description: long non-coding RNA (STUB_LNC004840)
Source: RNAcentral
UUAGAUUUGUAAGUAUCAUCGAGGAAUUUGAACAUUUCAGCAUCAUUCCACAAGUGAUGUGUGCAACCACUGUCAAGAAGUCAUGAAUCAGAGGAUUCAUUGAUUGAAAAGUAUGAAACCACAAAGAGUUGCUCCUCAUGUGCAUCCGCAGCUUCUGCUACUUGUGCUUGCAAACAACCAGAGGCCUUUGCUCUUGAUUUGCAGACCUUGGAUAUGUGCCCUGUCUGCUUACAGUUUCCGCAUAUAGCAUCGACUCUCCACCAACAGUACUUCUCCAGAUGUGUAGUUCUUUUACAAUGUUUGCAUGGAGGGAACUUCUUCUUAACAUCUCCACUAUUAUUUCCUCCAUCAUGCUUACUCUUAUUAUU